This is a transfer RNA of Daphnia magna, 72 nucleotides long. It matches the Rfam family "tRNA". Rfam says of the family: Transfer RNA (tRNA) molecules are approximately 80 nucleotides in length. Their secondary structure includes four short double-helical elements and three loops (D, anti-codon, and T loops). Further hydrogen bonds mediate the characteristic L-shaped molecular structure. tRNAs have two regions of fundamental functional importance: the anti-codon, which is responsible for specific mRNA codon recognition, and the 3' end, to which the tRNAs corresponding amino acid is attached (by aminoacyl-tRNA synthetases). tRNAs cope with the degeneracy of the genetic code in two manners: having more than one tRNA (with a specific anti-codon) for a particular amino acid; and 'wobble' base-pairing, i.e. permitting non-standard base-pairing at the 3rd anti-codon position. NCBI's taxonomy places the organism in Eukaryota, Metazoa, Arthropoda, Branchiopoda, Diplostraca, Daphniidae. The record is from Rfam.
CUUCGAUAGCGCAGUAGGCAGCGCGCCAGUCUCGUAAUUUCGUGGUCGUGAGUUCGAACCUCACUCGGUGAA